GCGCGAGUGGUGAAAUUGGCAGACACGCAGGAUUUAGGUUCCUGUGCCUUCGGGCGUGGGGGUUCAAGUCCCCCCUUGCGCACUA
Molecule: transfer RNA, 85 nt
Filed under: Pseudarthrobacter phenanthrenivorans
Lineage: Bacteria; Bacillati; Actinomycetota; Actinomycetes; Micrococcales; Micrococcaceae
Also listed under: 5 other names
Description: tRNA-Leu
Rfam family: tRNA
About the family: Transfer RNA (tRNA) molecules are approximately 80 nucleotides in length. Their secondary structure includes four short double-helical elements and three loops (D, anti-codon, and T loops). Further hydrogen bonds mediate the characteristic L-shaped molecular structure. tRNAs have two regions of fundamental functional importance: the anti-codon, which is responsible for specific mRNA codon recognition, and the 3' end, to which the tRNAs corresponding amino acid is attached (by aminoacyl-tRNA synthetases). tRNAs cope with the degeneracy of the genetic code in two manners: having more than one tRNA (with a specific anti-codon) for a particular amino acid; and 'wobble' base-pairing, i.e. permitting non-standard base-pairing at the 3rd anti-codon position.
Source: RNAcentral